AACGGCGGCCAGCCCCGCCCCACGCUGGCGUCGUCCUGCGCGCUCCGCCCUCGGCGGCCAGUGCGUGUGCGUGCGCGCGCGCCCGGCCGGAAGUGCGCUCGCGUGGAGUUGUGGGUGCGUGGCGGGUUUGCCGGUUGGGAUCGUGGGGUGGGGUUUUCUGCCAUUUUUUGAGCAUCCCGAUAUGCACUAGCCUGUUAGCAUGUUAGGCAUGCACAGUUGGGGCAAAGAGCCUGAGAGAAUAUGUAGAUUGACAGAGUGUGAGCAGGGGAGGGGCAGAGAGAGAGGAAGACACAGAAUCCCAAGCAGGCUCCAGGCUCUGAGCAGUCAGCACAGAGCCCGACACGGGGCUCGAACCCACAACACCGAGAUCAAAAGUCGCAUGUUCUUCCAACUCAGCCAGCCAGGUGCCCUUCUUUAUAUUGUUAAUUAUAAAAGUCAUAUUUUAUCAUAUAUAUAAUUUGCAAGUAUCUUCUCCCAUCUAUGACUUGUCUUUUUCUUGAUUGAGUCCUUUGAAGCAGAAAAGUUUUUAACUUUGAUGAAGUCCAAUUUAUCUAUUUUUUCUUUUGUCAACUCUGCUUUUUGUAUCAUAUCUAAUUAACCAGGUCAUGAAGAUUUAUUCUUGCUUUCCCUAAGAAUUUUAUAAUUUUUUAACUCUUUUUAAAUUUUAUUAUAUUUUUAAUGUUUAUUUUUGAGAGAGAGAGAGUGAGCAGCAGAGGGGCGGGGUGGGGGAAGGAUGGAGGAUCCGAAGCAGGCUCCAUACUGACAGCAGAGAGCCGAAUGCUGGGCUUGAACUCCUAAACAGUGAGAUCAUGACCUGAGCGAAAGUCAGACACGUCACUUAACCAAAUGAGCCACCCAGGCGCCCCUCUUUUUUUAAAAUACAUAUUUUUUAAUGUUUACUUAUUUUUGAGAGAGAGAGACAGACAGAGUGCAAGCAGGGGAGGGGCAGAAAGAGAGGGAGACACAGAAUCCAAAGCAGGAUCCAGGCUCUGAGCUGUCGGCACAGAGCCCAAUGUGGGGCUCAAACCCAUAAACUGUGAGAUCAUGACCUGAGCUGAAGUUGGACGCUUAACCGACUGAGCCCCCCAGGUGCCCCUAAAUGUGUGUUUUUUUUUAAUGUUUGUUUGUUUAUGGGGUGGGGAGAGACUGAGACUGGAAGAGGGGCAGAGAGAGGGAGAGAGAGAGUCUCAAGCAGGCUCCAUGCUCCGUGCAGAGCCCAAUGCACGACUUGAUCCCACAUCUUCGAGAUCACGACCUGAGCCCAAAUCAAGAGUCGGAUGCUUAACUGACUGAGCCACUGGGCUCCUCUUGGCUCUUUUUUAAAAAAAAUCGUUUUAGCUCUUACAUUUAGGUCUUUGAUGCAUUUUGAAUUAAUUUUUAUAUAUUAUGCCAGCUAGGGGGCCAACUUCAUCCUUUUGCAUGUGGAUAUACAAGUUGUACUUUUAAACUGCUACAUUUGGGGUGCUUGUCAUAUAGCAAUAAAUAACUGCAAACCAUCUCCCGAUUCUUCGUCCCCCAUCUCGUUCAACCAACCAACCAACCAACCAACCAACCGAGUCCGUGGAUUUUACCUCCUCCAUUUCAUGGAUCCUUCCAUUCUCACUGCCACUCUCCCAGGUCACUAUCACCUCUGACUGAGACAAGAGCCACAGCAGCCUUCUCAUCCAGUCUCUCCACUUCUAGAAUGCCUUCAUUUAGCCAGAGAUAGGUUUUUAAUGCUAAUCUGAUUGUGUCCACUUCCGUUUAAAACACUUCACUGCUCUUAGCACCAAGUCCAAACUCCUGAAAAUGGGUUAAGACCCUUCAUGACCUGCCUAUAAUCCCUUUUCAGCUUCCACCCCAUCCACACCCUCCCUCCCUUACAGCCAGUACCCAUUUCCUUCCCUGAAAACACGGGCAUCAUCUCUCCUCAAGAAGACGUUCCUGACUACCCAAGGCUGUAUUAGUAAUUUUCUUUUUUUUUUUUUAAUGUUUAUUCUUGAGACAGAGAGAGACAGCAUGAAUGAGGGAGGGGCAGAGAGAGGGAGACACAGAAUCCGAAGCAGGUUCCAGGCUCUGAGCCAUUGAGCUAUCAGCACAGAGCCAGAUGCGGGGCUCUAACUCACAGACUAUGAGAUCAUGACCUGAGGCAAAGUCGAAUGCUUAACCAACUGAGCCACUAGGCACCCCUGUACUAGUAAUUUUCAAGUCUGCUAUUCCACUAUGGAAACAAUCUCUUGUAUGAAUCCCCUCUCCAUCACCUCAGCUGUAAUCUCCAAACACUGUCUUUAAAUAUCAUCAUUGUACUUCUGCUUAGCAAACAUGCCAGUAUCCAUGAAUGCAGCAUGACUUAGACAAUGAGAAUUCCUCAGUGUAUUCGGGGUAGUGACACUUUUGUAUGGUCU
Molecule: long non-coding RNA, 2384 nt
Organism: Acinonyx jubatus (cheetah)
Lineage: Eukaryota; Metazoa; Chordata; Mammalia; Carnivora; Felidae
Exons: 3
Source: RefSeq, a predicted model, not a curated record